CCUACGGGUGGCAGCAGUGGGGAAUAUUGCACAAUGGGCGCAAGCCUGAUGCAGCAACGCCGCGUGAGGGAUGAAGGCCUUCGGGUUGUAAACCUCUUUUAGCAGGGAAGAAGCGAAAGUGACGGUACCUGCAGAAAAAGCGCCGGCUAACUACGUGCCAGCAGCCGCGGUAAUACGUAGGGCGCAAGCGUUGUCCGGAAUUAUUGGGCGUAAAGAGCUCGUAGGCGGUUUGUCGCGUCUGCUGUGAAAAUCCGAGGCUCAACCUCGGACCUGCAGUGGGUACGGGCAAACUAGAGUGCGGUAGGGGAGAUUGGAAUUCCUGGUGUAGCGGUGGAAUGCGCAGAUAUCAGGAGGAACACCAAUGGCGAAGGCAGAUCUCUGGGCCGUAACUGACGCUGAGGAGCGAAAGCGUGGGGAGCGAACAGGAUUAGAUACCCUAGUAGUC
RNAcentral lists this ribosomal RNA (445 nucleotides) under uncultured bacterium. Its description in RNAcentral is "bacterial SSU rRNA". It matches the Rfam family "Bacterial small subunit ribosomal RNA", at positions 338 to 795 of the family's 1533-position model. The record is from RNAcentral.